RNAcentral lists this ribosomal RNA (464 nucleotides) under uncultured bacterium. Its description in RNAcentral is "bacterial SSU rRNA". It matches the Rfam family "Bacterial small subunit ribosomal RNA", at positions 28 to 508 of the family's 1533-position model. The record is from RNAcentral.
GACGAACGCUGGCGGCGUGCUUAACACAUGCAAGUCGAGCGGUAAGGCCCUUCGGGGUACACGAGCGGCGAACGGGUGAGUAACACGUGAGCAAUCUGCCCAUCACUUCGGGAUAACUCCGGGAAACCGGUGCUAAUACCGAAUACGACCACUUCAGGCAUCUGAUGGUGGUGGAAAGUUCCGGCGGUGAUGGAUGAGCUCGCGGCCUAUCAGCUUGUUGGUGGGGUAAUGGCCCACCAAGGCUUCGACGGGUAGCCGGCCUGAGAGGGUGACCGGCCACACUGGGACUGAGACACGGCCCAGACUCCUACGGGAGGCAGCAGUGGGGAAUAUUGGACAAUGGGCGAAAGCCUGAUCCAGCAACGCCGCGUGAGGGAUGACGGCCUUCGGGUUGUAAACCUCUUUCAGCAGGGACGAAGCGCAAGUGACGGUACCUGCAGAAGAAGCACCGGCCAACUACGUGC